GCAACGGAUCUCUUGGCUCUCGCAUCGAUGAAGAACGCAGCGAAAUGCGAUAAGUAAUGUGAAUUGCAGAAUUCAGUGAAUCAUCGAAUCUUUGAACGCACCUUGCACUCCUUGGUAUUCCGAGGAGCAUGCCUGUUUGAGUGUC
Molecule: ribosomal RNA, 145 nt
Filed under: Leucocoprinus gongylophorus
Lineage: Eukaryota; Fungi; Basidiomycota; Agaricomycetes; Agaricales; Agaricaceae
Description: Leucoagaricus gongylophorus 5.8S ribosomal RNA
Rfam family: 5.8S ribosomal RNA
About the family: 5.8S ribosomal RNA (5.8S rRNA) is a component of the large subunit of the eukaryotic ribosome. It is transcribed by RNA polymerase I as part of the 45S precursor that also contains 18S and 28S rRNA.
Source: RNAcentral